UACAGAGGGGGCAAGCGUUGUUCGGAAUUACUGGGCGUAAAGGGCGCGUAGGCGGCCUGUUAAGUCGAACGUGAAAUCCCCGGGCUCAACCCGGGAACUGCGUCCGAAACUGGCAGGCUUGAAUCCGGGAGAGGGAUGUGGAAUUCCAGGUGUAGCGGUGAAAUGCGUAGAUAUCUGGAGGAACAUCGGUGGCGAAGGCGACAUCCUGGACCGGUAUUGACGCUGAGGCGCGAAAGCCAGGGGAGCAAGCGGG
This 253-nucleotide ribosomal RNA is filed under the name uncultured bacterium. Its description in RNAcentral is "partial 16S ribosomal RNA". It matches the Rfam family "Bacterial small subunit ribosomal RNA", at positions 524 to 776 of the family's 1533-position model. The record is from RNAcentral.